This 253-nucleotide ribosomal RNA is filed under the name uncultured bacterium. Its description in RNAcentral is "partial 16S ribosomal RNA". It matches the Rfam family "Bacterial small subunit ribosomal RNA", at positions 524 to 776 of the family's 1533-position model. The record is from RNAcentral.
UACAGAGGGGGCAAGCGUUGUCCGGAAUCAUUGGGCGUAAAGCGCGUGUAGGCGGUUCGAUAAGUCUGCUGUGAAAGUCCAGGGCUCAACCCUGGGAUGCCGGUGGAUACUGUCGGGCUAGAGUGCGGAAGAGGCGAGUGGAAUUCCUGGUGUAGCGGUGAAAUGCGCAGAUAUCAGGAGGAACACCAAUUGCGAAGGCAGCUCGCUGGGACGUUACUGACGCUGAGACGCGAAAGCGUGGGGAGCAAACAGG